Long non-coding RNA from Canis lupus familiaris (dog), 6008 nucleotides. RefSeq lists it as uncharacterized. NCBI's taxonomy places the organism in Eukaryota, Metazoa, Chordata, Mammalia, Carnivora, Canidae. The record is from RefSeq and is a predicted model, not a curated record. The transcript has 5 exons.
CCACCUAUAUUUACCAAUCUCCAAAACUCACCCAUUCUUCUCAAAAUGUUUGUGAAUGUUAUAAAAUAUCAGGACACCACUCUCCCUGACACUGGCUGCAGCUGAGAGACCUGGGACAUCGGAUACCCAGCUGGCAGAAGGCAAAAUCUUUUACCAUGUCAACCUCCCGGACCCUCUAUCUGCAGAGUCUGAUGAAGGAGAGUCAUGGAAAGAACUCUGAGUACAGGUUUCAGACAAACUCAAGACCAUAAAACUGAAACCAGAUUGAAGAAAAUUUUUUCUCUUGGGCUAACCUGUAGCAAUUUGAUAAAAUAUACCUCUGUGAAUAAAUUGAAAUGCUUCUCUUUUCUCCCUACCUGAAUUCGCCAGAAUUCAGAAACUCUCAGACACAAUUGGAAAUCUUGGUUAUAUCACCAAGGCUUGAGUGGAAUGGCAUAUUUGAGAGAGACAUGCAUAGUCUCAGCUAUAAACAGACAGCUUUAAGGAACUAGGGUUGACUUUAUGGAGCCAAGAAGGCCUCUUCAAAAUAUCAGCAUGGUGCCUUAAUUACAGAGUUCCCAGGAGUCUUAACCAGAAUCUCCAAGAAGAGGUUUGAAACCCAAAGAAUUGCCUCCAGGGCCCCGAGGCCUCAGAGAAAGGCCUGCUUCUCUUGGGGUCACAGAUACCCUCGGAUUACUACAGUUGGCUCACAGAAUUCUAAUUCCAAUUUCACAGAGUGUUGAUAAAACAGACAUUUCUCUAAUGGCACCUUUAGAGCAGAGGUGCUCGUGGUAUCACAAUCUUUGCAGGAUUGUUGCUGGAGAUCGGAGCAGAUGCCACACGCCUUCCUGGCAUUGCUGGGGGGCUUCCCUGUCCCUCAUGCAUGGCUCUUCUCAGCGUGAAGUAUCCCCCUAAGAUGCAGAAAAGGAGAACCCCCCGCCCACCAUGCUGCUUUUCUCCCAAAGCUGUUCCUGCUGUCCUUCCAUUUCUCUGCUCCGUCUGUGGACCUCGCCGCUGGCAGUCCUGCACCCAGGCUGCCAGAUGCUGGCCUUGGUUCAGCCCUGUUUCCCCCUCCAGCUCCCGCUCCUAUGCUCCUGUCCACCACAGGCCACUGCUACCUUCCUCAGUCCCCUCCUUACCGUUGAAAACCAGUUGGGCCCUGUUCACCAUCAUUGCUGAGACAUCUUAAAAAAUAAAACCCCCGACCCUUCCUUUUCUUCUUAGCCAGCAUUCCAGGCCAGCCAGGACGGGAAAGGUCAGCACUGCAUUGCUUCUCCCCUCUGGGACCUGAGAUUUCAUUCACUUCCCCUCCAAUCCUGGAAUGUUGCCCCCGCAAUCUGCACUUGCGGUGGCAAACAGGUUUUAUCUGCUUUGUUCCCAAGCAUGUAUGUAAAUUGUCUCAGCCUUUCCUGGCUCUCUCCUUUCUGAGAAUGUUUUGUAAAGCUGCACCUCUUAGGUUUAUCCCAAUUAUUAAAGCAAAAGGACACUAACCUGCCAUCCAUUGAAUUCCCAACACAGCGCUCUCCCAGGCACCAGAAACAACGUCUGUUCCUCCUCUGGCUUUUCGUGAGCCUGGGUGAAAUGAAAUCCCCCCUUUCCUCACCAUUAGUGACCUACAUGUAACAACCACACAGAUUCUUCUGCAGACAUCUUUGGUGAGAUAACUGACAUAUUUUAAGAAAAGGACGCCUCCAAGGACACAGUUAUAUUAGCUCUUCAUUCUUUCAAUACUUACAAUAUUUUUACCACUAUUUUCAGCUUUUCAAUUAAACUGAUCCUUUUCUGAAGAAAUUGUUCAAAGUUUGCAGCACCCAUGAUUCAUUCUCCCAUGAAAGAGCAACAAUCAAGGGUAGACUUCAGAGCCUUUUCAGGGGUGGUUGCCACUCUUUAUUACAAUUUUUGUUUGUUCAUUUUCAUUGUGAAAAAGCUUUGCUGAAAAUAAAAUCACUUUUCCAAUAGCACAGCUCUUCCUUAUCUCUCUACCACUGUGUUUAAAGCACUUCAUCCAAACCUUUCUUAAUUAGGCUAACUUCAAAUCCUUGUUCAUUUAAAAUUUUUGUUUUAAAUCCUCACUCAUUUUGAAAUGAGAAUCAGAUUUUCUGCAAAACCUCUAUCUAGUAAAAAUUAAGGAAUUUGUUCUAAAUUAGAAUUUAUAUUCACAAGAAAAAGAGAAGCCCAUGCAGGGCUUGAUGCCUACAAACAUGACAUUACACCAAAGGCAAGGAAGGUGUUGAUGCAUGCAGGGGUCCACCUUGGAGAAAGACAUUCUUACAAAACAUUCUGACAGGAGGACCGACCAGUUGGUUCUAAAUAAAUGUGGCUAGAGAGGGUAAUAUGAAGCCCCUCUUAUCAAGUGAGGCUAGACCAACCUUUGCCCCCCACUAAGAAGCCAGCUUUCUCCUGCACCCCAAACAUUUGCUCCUGGGAUCCCAACCAGCCCCCCAAGCCCAAAGCAUCUUCCGGUUCACCGGCUUCAUCAGUGAUCCUUGGGGGGAUGGGGAUCAGUGCUGCUCAGCCCAGGCUGUGAACUUCUAACCCUCUGAGCAUUGUUAUCCUACUGUGAUAAAAUCCACAGGGCUCAACAGUUUAAUUCUUCUACGAACACUGAAUGUAUACCAGGUGCUGGGGGAAGGAGGGGGAAGGAGAGCAGCGAGGCUAUGCUGUACAGACAACCAAGUCCCCACUCCGCAGGUCCUAAGGGUCUGGUUAAGCAGAGAUGUAUUGGACAUGAAGCCAAAAAUAACAUAAUAGAAUGAAGUCAAUGGAAUAAUAGUGCAAAUGCUCAGGGGAUUCAGAGGAGAAGACAAUUGGUUCCACAACGGGGAGGGGAGCAAAAAAGGGAAGGAGGCUUUUCACAGUAGAGAAAGGGAGGGGGCAUUUUUAGCUGAGGGAACAGCCUUGACAUGUAGGCUGCAUUUAGAGACCAUUCUUCGCUGUCUGGCGAGGUUACAGGGGAAAUUCAACAACGUGAUGGGAAUGAGUCGUGAUAGAACUUUCACAUCAAAUCUUGCCAUUGGAGGGGUCGGGCUAGUAUCCUUCUGGUUUCGUGGGAGCAAGGCAUAUAAAAGUAUUUUUUGAAAACUUUAAAAGAGGAUUUGCCUGGCUAGUGAAUUCUUUGGAAUUAUAGAAGAGACUCACAGAUAAUAAUAAUAAUGAUAGUUAUAGUAAUAAUAGCUACUAUUAAUAUUUUGUCGUGAUUUAGGGCAGACAUCAUCUUUUAGAGCUGAAAGAACUUUAAACACCACCUCAUCCAACUCGCUUAUUUUACAGACAAGGAAACUGAUGUCCAGAGAAAUUUUGUCUCCAGACCCUGGCCAGUGAGGGGCAAAGCCAGGUUGAGGUACAGACCUCCCCCUUCCUAAACCAGUAAACCAGAUUACUUGUCACUAAAAACGUGUCCAUCGGCACCGCUCCCGGCUAUUUUUCAGAGAAGGAAAAAAUGGGUGAUUGGAGUUUAAGCGGUUUGCUGGAGUCCUGCAGCCACCGGUGGCUCACGUGGGACUCAAACCCCAGACACAGGGGACAAUGAGCCAGCGCCCUCCUAUAAACAUUCUUACUGAAAUUAAACCCAUUCACGAGGGAUGAAGCACGAGAAAGAAGAGUGAGUAUGGUGAUUAGAGCCCAAGAAUGCAUGUUUCUCCCAUCACGACCUGGGUAAGAAAUCCAGGGGCUGUGAGGAGUCUGCUUUGCCUCAGCUGCCAUGCAGCCUAACCACACACACGCCAAGAUGCAGGGAGCUCUCUUUCUUCACCAAAGGGCUUAGCUGCAAUAUGGUUUAAAUUAGACAUUUCUUGCCUGAGUAGAGCAAAUCACUUAGGUUAUAUGCUGACAAAAAAGGAACAGUCUGCAUGCUUGGAAAGCUUAGGGGGAAUUAAAUUAUGUGCUGUCACUUCAGAGUUGUUCCUCUGUCCUCUCCACCACCAUCUCUCAAUUGCCUGCAGGAGUCCUGGAGCCUUGCGUGCAAGCUGAGCCAUAACCCAAGGCUUAACAUAAACUUCGGACUCUCAGGUCAUUGGGAAAUAACAGGUAUAUCCGGUUGGGCCUUUUGUGCUUGUCUGCACGCAAAUUAAAAGUUCGUGCAAAGCUGAACUCCUCGGAGCCUCUGGUUAGGGAGAAGGGAGGCUGCCUUGGAAGAGAAUUCUCACACGAUCUCCCUGUUUAUUUUUUCAGGGAAUGGCAGAUAGAGCUUGUUUAUGAGAAGUUCGCACCUCUGGGAGCCUGAGCUCAGAAGGGGCGGGAUGUGGAGGGGGCCUUGUGCCAGAUGGUCCGUGGGGGAGCAGGGCUCUGAAGGACCCCAAGGCAAGGCGUUGAAGGGGUGUAGUUCUCACAGACCUUCAAGGAGGUGGGCUCGGGUGGGUAUGCCAAUUCCCACAGUUGCCCCGCUGGUGGCAAACAAUGGCAAGAUGGCUUGUGGGGGCCGAGUUGGGUGGGGAGGGUCAUUGGGGGGCUCUGAAAGCACAGCUCUUCCUUAUCUCUCUACCACUGUGAGUGUGCUCAUACACUCAGAGCUGUCACCUUGGCUCCUCACUGUCCUGUCUUCAAUGACCCCAGUAUGAUUGCAGCCUGGAAGCCUCUGAGAAGGUGGCUGGAGCUGGAAAGGGUGUGCACUCUGCUCCCCUGCUUCAUCCAAUGGGAAGCAGUAACAUUCAUGCCUCCUGCCCUCAAACUUUGAUUUCUCUCCUUCAGGAGUUUGCCCACUUUGUGUGGCUGGGAGGCAGCAGAGAGUCUGGGCUGGUAGACCUGAAUUCAAAUUGUAGCUCAGCUACCUCAGGAGUUUUGUGACCUUGGUUGACAACUCUAACUGCUCUCACCUUGCUUUGUUUGUGUAGAAAAGGGAUUAUGGUUAAUGGUUACCUCAAAUGGUUGGUUGUGAGGGUUUAAUGAAAUGAUUUCUGUUAAAUGCUUGGCACACUGCCUCGCUCCAAGUGCUCAAUAAAUAGUAAUUCGACAUUAUUGGUAGUAUAUUAUCAUUGUUGUCAUUGUUAAGAUUGGCUGAGCUGCCAUCCAAACAGCUGCUGCAUUUCAGGCUGUGCCUCAGAUGCCCUCCUGGCCUCACAACUGAGCAGGAUCCCCUAAUCCCGCCCCCCACCCCCCUACUUCUUCCACCAUGAUCUCCCAGCCACCUGAUUCAGACAUCCCCUGGGCUCUGGCAGCAGAGAUGGGGCACCAGCCUGCCUUACUUGGGAGUCAAGGUUCAUUGUCCCAGCCAGACGCCUGGGGAUGGUACCUCCGGCAUAGCUCAGCAAGGUCGCAACAUGAUUUGAAUGUGUCCACAUGUGUCUCUAAGGCUUUCCUCCUCAAACCAAUAGCUGAAUCAUGGCUGCCUCCAAAAUUGAUCCCCACUCCCACCAACUUCCUAUAUCAAGACUUUAGCCCCUUAGAUAUUGCUUGGAUGGAGAGACGCUCCAAAGGAAAAAAAAAAAUCACACUUUUAAGCUUAGACAGUAGUUCUCAAAGUGUGGUCCAGGGACUCCUUGGGAGUGUGGGUGGUCCCCGAGACCCUGUCAGGGGAUCCACAAGUUUAAAAUUAUGUCGAUAGGAUAAUCUUUGCCUUUCGCUCUCUCCCUCUCUCACCAUUACCAGGGGCCUUUCAGGGGUCGCAUGACAUUUGUGAUCUCAACAGACUGAAUGCAGAAUCAGAUAGGAGUAUUUAUCUGUCUCUGUCAAGUCAGAAAUUAAGGAGAUUUGUAAAAAUGUAAAACAAUGCCACUCUCGUUAAUAUUUUUUGGUUUGGGAAAAUAUACUUAUUUUCUCUAAAACAUAUUAUUUAUGUUAACAUAAAUGUAUUAAGUUUGUUCUUUUCCAAUGAAUAAAUAUUUUAAACUUUGUUGCAUUUUCAUUUCUAAAAUUGUGAAUAUUGAUAGAACUUAGAUUGGACAAUAGCUCUUUGAUUUCUACAGUAAUUUUUUAGAGUAUGAAGAUGUCCCGAAAACAAAAUACUUGAGAAGCACUGAGCUAAUAAUUUGGCAUUGUAGUCUAUGAAAUCAUCCCUUUGCUCACUUACUUCUAAAUAAAACCAUCGUUUCUGG